AUACUUACCUGUCAGGGGAGACACCAUGACCGUGAAGGUGGUUUUCCCAGGCUGAGGCUCAUCCUCUGCAUUCUGGGUGUGCUGACCCCUGCAGUUUUCCCAAAUGCGGGAAACUUGAUUGCAUAAUUUGUGUUCAUGCUUUCCCUUGAAUUUGAAAAAAAACC
RNAcentral lists this small nuclear RNA (164 nucleotides) under Salvator merianae (Argentine black and white tegu). Its description in RNAcentral is "U1 spliceosomal RNA (ENSSMRG00000003001.1)". The stretch from base 1 to 140 matches the Rfam family "U1 spliceosomal RNA". Rfam says of the family: U1 is a small nuclear RNA (snRNA) component of the spliceosome (involved in pre-mRNA splicing). Its 5' end forms complementary base pairs with the 5' splice junction, thus defining the 5' donor site of an intron. Lineage: Eukaryota; Metazoa; Chordata; Lepidosauria; Squamata; Teiidae. The record is from RNAcentral.